UAGGGAUGGUGGGAGUUGUAGUCCCGAAACAUCUGGAGGGCCGAGUUUGCCUAUGCCUGCGGUAAGUGAAUCCCAACAGAUUUUAUUUUUCCACCCUCCAAAUUAUCUCACCAUCGGAGGGUGAUAAGAGGAAUAACAAAUAAAGAUGGGUUUGACUCCAAGGUAUUUAUAUAUUGUUGUUGUUUAGUCGUUUAGUCGUGUCCGACUCUUCGUGACCCCAUUUAUAUAUAUUGUUUAGUAAUAAUAGUACCACAAUCUCUGUUCCGUCUCAGUCACAGCAGCUUUAGAUUGGGGUAUACCCUGUGAAUGUGAGCAAUUUCUAUGAGUAAAAGAUUUUCCAAGUUUGUUUUGCUGCCAUGUGGAUGGCUGCAUACAAGACAACAUCUGUACAUGCAUUUGUCUUGGAAGGCAACACUUUGUUUGAUAAUUAUUUUCAUUUUUUUCAAUAACAUUUGGGGGGAAAAUGUGGGGGAGAAAAUUAUACGUUGUAAUCUUUUAAAUCCCAGUAGAAAUGCUAAUUACUCCUCAGCUUUUCCAACAUAAGCAUUAAAGCCCCUUUCCAAUAAAGUCACUGAAUUUAAGUAACUAUUCUUCAUUAGCUAAGUUGCUGAAUAGUUAAGUCUUUCCAGAUAACAAUAACAACACUUGGGAUAAUAUAGACACUUAACAUUAUAUAAUUAAAUUAUUUCAUUUAACCUUUUAUAAUUAAAUUAUUUUUUGAUGUGUAACUUCAUGAUCAGAAUUUAUUAACCAUAAUUAAUAGUUCACAAUCUGUUUUCCUCAACACACACACACACACCAUCAACAUAAACAUACAUAUAUACACAUACACACACAAUACCCACUUGCAGAAAAAAAUAAACCAGUGAGUUAAGAUCUUAUCUUAAUAAUUGUAUAAUUUCAGUUUCCUAAAGACAAACAGCCAAACACAAUAUCAUAUUUCAUUAAUAAAUAAAGAAAAUCAUACCCUCCCUCCCAACACAUAUUGUUGGUAUUCCACAAAAGCAUAACUUUUGCUUAUCCACAGAGUUUGGGGGAGUAGAGACCCAAGUGUAAUUCUGAGUUCUUUGGAAAAUUAUAUUUAUUUUCUGCUUACAAUUGUCUGACUACUGAACAGAAGAUCAUCAUCUGAGUCCUUCAUUUCCUAGUAUGCAGCAUUUUGUGCUCUUAUUGUGCUGUUUGAGAGGACAGAAUUUGAAAGUUUUUUCAUCUGAUCUGCUUAGAUCCAGAAUCUCAUAGCCCAGAAAGGUGACUUUGGAAAGAGACAAUAUGUUAUUCCAUUGUAUAGCUCUGUCAGAAACUUGUGUUCCUUCAGUUAAAAUACAAAAUCAAGUGAGCUCUAGGGACAAACACUUUUAUCUUCCUACCCUGUCCAUUCAUGAGCUUUCUGUGGGCUCAUGAAACAGGAAACCUUGAAAAAGUAGAAGUGUGGCUGUAAUUGGGAUUAUUCUAUUUUUAGCUCGUGAAGCAAGCCGUCUGCUGUCCUGUCCAUGUCCCAGCAGAGGUGUUACAUAACUCUGACUUAAUUCUCUGUAUCUGCUGCUACAUCAACUUCCCCUUUCCUUUGAACUUUGCUUUUAAAAUAAAACAAAACACCAGGCCUUUAAUUUUUUUAACUCUUUACUUAACAGGAAUAUUAAGCAAUACAUUUACAGCAGCUCCUUAAGGGCAUUGUGAAGUUCUGAACAGAAAUUAACCAAAUGAUUGAAGAAACAAUACAAAACUCACACAACCUUGAUUAUCUAGCAGUAACUUAAAAUACGUUGGACACUCUAGUACUUCCAAAUUAAGAGAUUGCUGUAAUUUGCUCAUUCUAGAGUUGUCAUGUGUGUUUAGGGUGAAAGUGUAACAGACAAGUACAUGACCAUGAUUGUUCUUUGAUAUUCUUUUUAAGUGUCAUUGUGUUUCUUGCGUAGUUAAUCUGUGAAUCUGGAUGCUUAUGCUCAAGUUACGGCCUUUGUAGCCUGGCGAUUUUCCAGAUUCCAAGAAUGGAUAGUGCAUCUGGUUGGUGAGAUAAACCAAGGAUGUGCUCUUUAACCCACUCUGGAUUAACCAGGAGAAAGGGAAAGCAGAUGCUGAGCAGCAUAGGAGAAAUUUAGAAAAGAUGUGUAGUGUCAUCAAGGCAUCAUAAUGUCUAGGUCAAGCCCUUUUUAAGCUGAGUAUAUACUGUGGGGUUUUGGGUUUUUUUUAAAUUAAAUACAUUGUGGCAGAUUAGUUCAUUAUACUAGGCUUGUUGUAUAUGUACAAAGCUGAUUUGAGAUGAGUGGAGAGCUAAGAACAUAAGACGAACUUGCUGAAUCAGGCCAAUGGCCCAUCUGGUCCAAUAUCCUGUUCUCACAGGGGCCAACCAGAUCCCUGUGGAAGUCUGCAAGCUGGACAUGAGUGCAACAGAAUUCUGCCUGCCUGCAAUUCCCAGGAACUAUCUGGACCUUGAUUUUAGGGCAGGGGUCAGCAAACAUUUUCAGCAGGGGGCCGGUCCACAGUCCCUCAGACCUUGUGGGGGGGCGGACUAUAUUUUGGAAAAAAAAUAUGAACGAAUUCCUAUGCCCCACAAAUAACACAGAAAACACAUUUUAAAUAAAAGGACACAUUCUACUCAUGUAAAAACACCAGGCAGGCCCUACAAAUAACCCAGAGAUGCAUCUUAAAUAAAAGGACACUUUCUACUCAUGUAAAAACUUGCUGAUUCCCGGACCGUCCGCGGGCCGGAUUUAGAAGGUGAUUGGGCCGCAUCUGGCCCCUGGGCCUUAGUUUGGGGAAGCCUGUUUCUCUCAGUUGCUCAUUGCUCCAAUUUGUCUGUUCUUCACAUUUCCACAUUAGAUUGCAUUUUUUUCAAUGUAAAAAAAAAAUCCUCAUGAAUUCAUCAGCAUUGUCAUAUUUACAAUAUUUACAAUACUAGGUGGGUGUGCGUGUGUAUUAUAUAUAAUUUUGUAUACACUGUAUAUUGUAUAUUAUUUUGUAUAUAUUGUACAUAAUUUUCAAUAUAUACAAUAUUGGAUGUAAUUUUCCAUAAUACAGACAUUUUUGCAAGGCAGUUUACCAUAAUAUAACACAUUUUGAUACAUUAUUUUCAUUUUUAUGCACAUUUUGCAUUAUGCAUUUCUGUGCACAUUACUUGGUCGGAAAGCUAUGCUACAAAAUUCAGAGAAGUUGAAUUUUGAAGGAUAGCUGGGAUUUGGUUCGCAUAUUCUCUUUGGAAAGUGUGGAUUGGGUAAUUCACCUUUAAAUUGAGUCAAAUUUCUCCCCUAACCCCACCAUGUCAGAUCACCUCGUGUUGUUAAAUCUCACUGUAAGAUUCACUGAACAUUCAUUCCCCUUUGAGGCUAUACCGGUAUGUCUUGCCAUGCAACUGCAAGGAAUGUGUGCAUGUUGAGAAUAUGUGGGGGGGGGGAGAUUUUACUUGAAGCAGUGGUUUUAAGAGGAAAUAAACAGAAUUCUAAUGUACUAGAACAGGUAUCCCCAAACUGCAGCCCUCCUGAUGUUUUGGCCUACAACUCCCAUGCUAACAGGACCAGUGGUUGGGGAAGAUGGGAACUGUACUCCAAAACAUCUGGAGGGCCGAAGUUUGGGGAUGCCUGUACUAGAAAAUGGAUUUCAAAACAUCAUUCAUCCUGCAGGUUUCAGAAAUAUGGUAAAAACUGUAAAAAUAAUUCUCUUGUUCAACCCCCCCCAUUUGCAUUGCUUACCCCUACCUUUUAUUGUGGACAAUAUAAGGAAUUGCAUGCUGCCUACACAAGGAUUAGGUGAAGUAGGGCCAAAGAACCCCACUGCAUACUGUACCUUCUUUUCUGAAUUAUUGCUUCUUGUACAUGUAGCUUAUGCCAAGGCCAUGAUCCUGUGCGCUGUACACACUGGGACUUCUAUCUGAAUAAACAUGCAUUGGACAUGAAGAGGUUAUAUGCAACCCUUGAAUUCAUCACAUUACUAUACAUAUCGCUAUUACCCUGCGUCUCCCAAGCAUCCCUGGGGGCAUGCCUCAUAGCAUGUGCUUGUGUCUUGAUCCCUUUUUCUCUUGUAUUUAUUCCAUGACUAAUGAAGCACAGAAUGUCAAGCAUAGAGAAAGGCUAUUUAUGGGCUACCAGUGCAAUCCCUGCAACUUCCAGUUAUGUUGUCAAGUGUACCUUCAUGUUACGAGGCAUCCCUGUGGUCUCUAUUCUUAGCAGCUAAUCAUGGAAAUAAUUCUCUUCAGCAUUACUGGCUUUUUGGCUUCAGAGGUUCGCCAGCUCUCCUGCUUACAGAGGCCAUCAGCUUCCUGUCAUUUGCCCCACCUGCAGAGUGAGUAACAUUACUAGAUAGCGUACCAUGGCCCACCCCAGUAUCUUUAAAGAGGCUCCCGUUUCUGAUGCUGUCACAUCCAUCAUGCUAAUACUAAAGGUGAUUACAGAUGGUGUAUGUUUUAUGUUUAAAAUGAAAUGUAGAGCAGUAAUAUCCUAUGAUGCCACAGAACACGAUUCAAACCCUCAAUUAAUUCCUUGCAUGUGAUUGCAUAAUUGUCUCUUUAAAAUGGAGGCAUAGGGUGCUGCAUUCUCUCAUCAAUGCUAGGACUUUGUGUUCCGUAUAUUAAUGCCUGCUGUUUAGUUCCACUCCUCAGUUUUAUCGCUGUUUGUUCCCGUGUGUGCAGUUACUUGUACUUGCUAAAAUAAGUGUGCAAGCAUUUUUACAGCAAUCCAAGAUGCAUGCUUUGUAAAACUCACUGUCAACAUAUUGAAAAUGAAUUCAAUACUGCCAGAUAACUUAAGGGAAUAAUAGGGAAUGAUUGAAUAAUAGGGACCAGGCCUUACAAAAAUGCUUAAUGUGAAAGUAGAUCAAAGUACUUUGGAGCUUGUAUCUCAUUAAGUCAGCAUUUGUCUGACUGUCUUAAAGUGUCACUUUUAGUGGAGUGGACUGAAGACAACAUUCAGUCUGAAAUCCCUUUACAGUGCCAGUAGUGCUCUAACUGCUUUAGAGAAGAGCUCCUUCACUUCAGCCUGAAGCAGAACCUGGCCUUGGAAGUACCAGAGCUUUGUAUCUCCCUAUUUAGUAUCACAUGGAAAUGGCUGGUAGGUGAGAGAGAUGACUCCUCACCAAGGACCUUUAGGAAAAUGGGGGAGCCUUAACCCCCUGUUAGAUGUGUUUGGGCCCAUAGAAAGCUAGCAGGGCAGGGUCAAGUGGACCUCCCAAAUUCCAAAAAAAGUUUCUGCUGUAGAAAACGCUCUGUUCAAUGUGUCUCACAUCCCAGCAGACUUGGGAAUGGAAUGGUGUGCAAAAGGGCCUCUGAAGAUGAUUUCAGUGCCAGGGUAAGCUCAUACCCUGGGCCAGGUUCAAGGUGCUGUUAUUAGUAUGCAAAGCCCUUAAUAACUUAGGACCAGUUUACCUACAAGAUCGCCUGACCCCACAUGUGCCCACUUGAUUGCUUCGAUCAGCGGAAUUGGCACUACUACAGGUGCCACAUAAAACCCAUUCCAGCAGCUGGAUCUUGGUGAAAUAAUAAUAAUAAUAAUAAUAAUAAUAAUAAUAAUAAUAAUAAUUUAUUAUUUAUAUCCCGCCCAUCUGGCUGGGUUUCCCCAGCCACUCUGGGUGGCUCCCAACAGAAAAAUGAAAUGAAAUAAUCUAUUAAACAUUAAAAGCCUCCCUAAACAGGGCUGCCUUCAGAUGUCUUCUAAAAAUCCGGUAGCUGUUUUUCUCUUUGAUAUCUGAUGGGAGGGUUUUCCACAGGGCGGGCACCACCACCGAGAAGGCCCUCUGCCUUGUUCCCUGCAACUUGGCUUCUCGCAACGAGGGAACCGCCAGAAGGCCCUAAGUACUGGACCUCAGUGUCCGGGCAGAAUGAUGGGGGUGGAGAUGCUCCUUCAGGUAUAAGUUCCUCCUUUACCUGAUUUGCUGCUUGAUGAGCUAGCUGCAUAUGAACCAGUUCUGCUUUGUAGUCAAUGAGGAAGAAGCAUAUUCCAUACCUGAUUUCAAAGUGGAUCACACAGCAAAGGGCAUCUGUUUUAGCAUGUGGUUUCCUUGUUGUGGUUUGGUCGUUCUGCUAGUAAUGCUAGUUUCACUGUUUGUACAGAGUCAAAACGUAAUGCAUUUAUUCUGUCUUUACCUCAUAAUGAAUUUUUUUUUCCUAUCGUGUGCCCUCUGUCCCUUCCAAAGCUACUAAUUCUUGUGGCUGCCCACAAAAUAACUCGUAAUUUUAGUACCUGUCUAGUAGUGUUGAAGACAAAGUUUUUAACAAUUUGAGGGAUACAACUUUCAUGCUCCCCCUCCCAAUAUUCAGUAAGAGAUUUUAUGGCUUUAACAAGAACCUGACCAAUCCCCCAUUGCCAUCUUGAAAGCUGGAGCUUGUUUUCCUCAUUUAACUCCAGCAGUAAAGUACUUUUUAAAUGCUUGCAGUGUUGGCAUUAGACUACUGCUGUUCCUCUUGGCUUUGCCCCCAUGCUGGGAAGAAAAGUAGGCCUUCUUCUUUUAAGGGUUGUGCGGAAGAGACUGCCUUUUAAAACACCACCCUACUAUUUUUGCUCUGUAGAACAAAAGCAGCCAUACCCCACAACUGUCUGCACUGUCUCUUUUUUGAGGCUUCUCGACGGAAACAGUGAUAAACUAUUUCUGGCUCUUCGAGCAGUAAUUUAAUACCAAACUACUGCUGGUCAAAUGUGAACCUUAGUCACAGAGAUACAUCCAGUUGUAGGUUUAGCAGUAAACUGAUGUAUACUCGCAGCAUGAACCUGCCCUCACUUGGAUGCUCAAAAUAAUCUGGGUGAGUGACAGACAUUGCAUGUCUGCUUAAAAAUCUUUUCUUUGUAAAUAUCAUUCACCAAUGCUGUUGCUGGCAUUCUCCCAUGUUGCAGCUUUUGGGAACACUGUAGUGCCUUUUACCCUGUAAUUUGUACAUUACAGGUUUCAUUCUAGUUAUAAAUAAAGAAAUAUGUGGGCAUGGUUCAAUUUUGGGAACAGUUUGUACUCGUAACACAUGUGAAGGCAGGCAGUCGUAUUGUGAAGCAUCCUCUGAUGUGCUGUAGCCUUCCUCAAAUGGAGUGUCCAGGAAGUUCUUGCAGCUCCAAUCCUUGGGGAAAGCUGUUAACAGUGAAAUGAGCCUCAAAUGGGUCCACACCAGUUUUAAGGUUACGGGGAUUCAAACCCUGUAGGCAUCUUCUGUACAGUACUGACUUUUCCAAGCAAAAAAAACUAAGCACAGUUUCUUUGUAGCAGGAACAAUGUUGCCUUUUAAAUACUUACUGCUGUUGUACUGCCUUACUAGUUCUUAAAAAAUAAUCCUUUUUAUUUUUAUCUUGGUAACAACGUUUCCUAGCCAAAUACAGACUCCCAAGUACCCAAACAGAAAUCCCCUCUCCCUUGCCCAAACCCAAUUAGUCACCAUUUAGCAUCCUAUUUAACUCAUCUGAAUAUGAAUAAAAUAAUUCUGCAUAUCAAAACAACAAGACAAAAGCUUGGAAGGGAAAGAGUUGAAAGAAAUGCUGCUGAAUCAAACACAUUAAGGAAGUUCACUCAGAACUCUUGGGAGUCUUGGAAGUGCCUUGUACUUUAUCGUUGUCCAGCACUACUCCUUUGCCUUGCCUCCACAUACAUUUUGAGCUCUGCAUCUCUGUGUGCACUGUUUUAGCAUUUGGAAGUUUGUUCUUGCAUGCAUCUGUGCACAACAGAUGUCACUUUCAGGCAGCGAAUAACUCUAAAAUAACUCUGUAAAGAAGAGGGAGGGGGAGAAUCACUGGAUUCUUCAGCUCUGCUAGAACAUCGAAAUUGUGCAGUCAGCCUUCCUGUACAAAUUUAAGGCUGGCAUGUUUCUGUUUUGAGGUGAUCACCAGAGCCUUUCUUUUAUCUAGUCUUUCAGAAUUACCACAACAUAGCAAAAUAUUCUGUCUUUCAUAUUCUGAUUUUCAAGAAUCCCUCCCCAAAUGGUCCUUUUGUCAUGCCUUGGUGCUCCUAAUGGUUUCCUCUCACAGCUGAGACAGGCCAUUUGAACUCCUGGCAAACUUAUCGGUGAGGCAGAAAGGGUUAACACACAGCUUGCUGCCAGGGGAACACACACCCCUGGAACAUUUUGGAGGGAAAACCAUUUGCUCCUCUCACCAUGCUGAAGUGAUUAGCCAUUGUAAGAAAAACCCUCUCCUGAGACACUGGUGACCUAGGCCUGCGGAGUUUCAUGCAUCCAGAGACAGGGUGUUUUUUUACCCCCACCCCAAAUUAACAAAUUUCCAAAAUGUAUUUGAGUGGAGUGUGGAAUGCUUGAGGUUUGCAGACAUUUGCAGAAAUGAAACGGUUAAAAGCACGUGCUCGGGUGUGUGCCUAAAAGCAACUGUCUUUUAUAAACUGCAUUGCCUUUGCUGCCCUUUGUGUUAAAUCAAAAAUUAUAUCGCAUGUGUCACUGGGAUGUGCACUAGUUUUUCUCAAAGAUUGGAAAACAUCUGCUUUGUGUUGCUUUAUAAACGGGAAUGAGCUGGUGGGGGUUAAUGACACGAAACUUUGCUCUGUUUUUAAGCUGUGCCUCUUCAAGAGAUGCUUGCCAACCCUAAAAAGAGUUAAGCUAGCAAGUGUAACUGGGAAAGCCACAUGAAGCUGACAAUGCGAACAUGAGAAAGGGGAAGCUUGGAAAUGAAGCAAAGAAACCAAGAUGAGGAGGGAGCGCAGAGAUAUGGGUGCUUAGCCUGGGAGUGACUUUCUCUUGGUUUGUCCGGCCCUGGUAUUGCUGGCAUUGGCUCUCUGGGGAAAGCUGCAGUUCUGCUGUUAAAACACAAGGAGCAGCCUGGAGAAUUUUGAGCUGCGUCACACAGCUCAGAGGGGGAGAGAGAGAGAGAGGGAAAGCAAGCUCUGUCGAUAGGUCUACUAGCAACAGCCCUGCUGCAGCAAGAGAGAGAGAGAGCUCAUGAAAGAGAAGUGAUAACAACAUUGGGAAGCAUGAUUCCUUUACCCAUACAGCAUAUUUUUUUAAAAAAAGAACCACUAUUUUGAAGCUUGUUUAGAACCAGCAGAUUUUGUCCACUGAUGAUACCGGAAAGAUGCAACGCAGUUAAUUCCGCAGGGGGGGGGGGCGUACAUAGGAAGGGUUAAUGGGAGGAAAAUUCUGGAAUGUUCUAUCCUGCGGCGGCGCAAACAGAGGGUUGAGGACUGCACAGGUGUAGAUGAACAGAAUUCGUGGUUCCUCUUUUUCCUUACGUACGUAUCAGAUUGGGAUGUGGGGUGGGGGAAUUGAACCGACUGUCUCGUGUGUGUGUGUGUGUGUGUGUGUGUGUGUGUGUGUGUGUGUGUGUUUGUUGGGGUUUCUUUCUGUCCCUAAACUCCACCCCCAGAACUCUUACACCCCAUGCUAUUUUUCUGUGGCUAGAUACUGUUGGCUGUGUCCUGCGUCACACCAAUGGAAUGAAGGUACAGGUUGUAAAAUUUCACUGCGUAGCUGUAAUGCAGAUUUGGGGAAGGAAGAGAGAACAGUAGUUUUUCAGAGGUUAAUAUCAAGGAGUUGGCAGGGGGGUUAAAAAGACAGUCUCUGGAUUUUUAAAUCUGAGGGACUGUAUCUGCAUAGUUCAGAAAGUGGUGAAUGAUGACGCAGUGAUCUUUGCCUAGCAUGUUCCUGGGUUUAAAAAGCAUCAGGGGGAACAGGUACACUGUGAAUCUCCAGGCCAGCUGAAAGGGACUGAGUUAAGAAGGGAAGAUAGCGUUUAGGAAUUAAAUGUCAUCAUUUUGGCGUUGGAAAGUUGUUUACCUUGCUCUCUCCGUGUCUCCAUGUUGGCAGUCUUCCAGCUCACAUGUGAUAGUCUUCCCUGUACUGCUGCAUCAUUAACUGAGUGCCUGAGCCUACACAUGAUUGGCUAGGGAGGGCUCUUAUUCUAAACACACAGUUCCAUUGGAGGGAGAGGCAGUGGCAGGUGAAAAGCUGCCUCAGAUUGGCUGGGGCCAGGAUAUCAAAUCUAAAUGUUCCAUUCCUCUUGCUUUAAAAGGGGGUCUGAACAAUUUGUGACUUAAAAUGUUGGCUGUUUGCUUCUCUCCACCCCUCCUUUUCCUUAAAUCAGGCAUUUUGGAAUGUGUCUGUGAUCUCAAGGCUGGUCAUUUAAAGAGAAAAGCAAAAAAGCAGGAACUUGAGUAUUGUGGAUUAGUUUAGUUUAUUACUGGUUCAAGUGACGCAGAAGGAAAAACAAAUAUUCUGUGACUCGAGUUGCAUCAGUAACAGGCGUGUUUCCGGCUGCUGUGAGACAAGCCACGAUGACGUGACAUUAUUAUAGGCUUCAGAAGAGACAACAAAAAAGAGGCUUUGGUGGGUAGCUAGAAAAAUUCUAACUAGACAGAGCUAUUUACUUGUAUUAUAAACUAUGUGGGGCAGUGAGAGUGCCUGCCACUUGUAUAUAUGUAAAAACCUGGACUAAACCAAAAACUGAAAUGUGUCCUAGGUUACGUCAGUGUAACCUCAAAGUCAGUGCUGUGAUGGGAUUGAAUGGCAACAGAAGAUAGUGGUAAGAUAUAUGAGGCUUUCUUUCUGUCAUUUUGUUUUGUUUUAAAAGGAGGGGAUGGAGAGUUCUAAGAUGGCUGGAGAACGAUAGGUGGACGGUCAAGAAGAAUAAACCACCAGAUCAAGCUGGGGAGCGGAGUGGGGGGGGAUGAGGACCCACCAUAUAGGUAGACAUAGUGCUUGCUUUAACCAUUUCAUGAGUCAGAUUUUCCAUUCUGGACUAUCCAAUAGCCAAUUCCAGUCAAACAUUUGUUCUGUUCUGGAGGAUGGGGUCUAUCUUCUCUUCUCUUUGGAACCUGCCAUGAAAUCCAGAGUAACUAGCAUUAUCACAUAACAUGAGAGGGUAAGUUUCUUGUGGCGUUUUCUCAUAAAAUGCUCCAAUGAAUUGAAGGGUUUACGAUGGUAAAAGGAUUUGUGUUGGUGACUCACCGGCAUAGAGAGAGUCAAGUACAGACAGUCAUUCGGCAGCAGUAUGCUGGCUUUGGAACCAGAUCAGAUGCAUUUUGAUUCUCCAUCUUAAUUUCUUUUAAAGUACUCUGUCUUCUCAAGUGUUGUUACAAGAUGUAUUCUCACCAGUAGGCUUUAAAAGCCCCAAGAAAGGUGAAUAUGCAUAGUCUUCUAUUCACAUUUGCUAGCUCAAAGGAGCAAGAGGCGGAGGGAAAGGAGAGAAAAAAUCAGGAAGCCAUUUCUGGAGGCAGACAUGAUGCGUGGAAGAAGGAAGGCAAGGAAACACAGCAAAUACACCCCUCCUAUAUUAUCCCCUCAUGCACACCUUCAUUUUUCCUUUCUUAUUUGCCAAGUGUUAUGCCUAAUUUGAAAUUCUUUCAUUGUAGGUGCAUCACUUCUCUCUCUCUCUCUCUCUCUCUCUCUCUCUCUCUCUCUCUCUCUCUCUCUCUCUCCCUUCCCCUUGCCCCCGGUGUGAGUCCUUGCUCUGCAGAGCUGUCUCCUCCAGAGGCAGUCUUGCAUCCUGCAGUGCUAGUUCCGCAGAGGAGGGCAACAGGAGGCACAACUGCGAUGGCUGCUCCCGGGAAGGGACCGACUUGGUGCUGAGAUCAUACUUGUUCCUGGCAGGACUUGGAGACUAUAAUGCAGCUGGGUCUCCAAAGAACCAUUUCUGUGUGCGUGAGAGAUACUGCAACCUUCUGAUUCCUGUAAAGAAGACCUUGUAUUCUACAUGGAGGACAGUUCUUGAAACGGAGUAAUGGGGUUGGAAGAAGAAGAAGAAGAAGAAGAAGAAGAAGAAGAAGAAGAAGAAGAAGAAGAAGAAGAAGAAGAAGAAGAAGAAGAAGACGACCUCACACGGCAUGUUCAAGUCCUUGUGUGUACCUAAAGUAGCUCUUUAGAUCCUGGCUAACCAGUUUUGAUCUUUUUCUCACAGUUGGCUUCCUUCAUACGUGGCAUGUAUGCAUUUUUAAACAGUCUUGUGUGUGAUGUGUAAGGAAGUACAUCUGUGCUACAGAGUAGAAGGGGAGUGGAAACCACACUGUGCCAUUGCCCUCUUUACACUGAAAAUGGUAACUCCCCAAGUGGACUGUACCACUCUAGGCAGUGCCUACCUCCUUUUGUGCUUGUGCCUUGUGGUAUGGGGUAAAGAAGAGUAACUUUCUUUAACUCCCACUGCUUUCAUAUUUCUAGGGGAGUAGUAUUUGAUACAGUGAGGAUUUCAGUGCGACAGUCAGAGGAGAUCCGAUUGCUGUGGCGUGUAGCAUUGGAUCACCAGGGCUUCUCCCACUUCACUCUCAUUCACCCUGCAGCCAAAGUUUCAAAAAUGUGUUCCACGGAUGUUUCAAAAUCUGUGACAAAUUUUUAAAAGGGAUAGUUUUCUUUGCACUGGGCCAGGAGGGUGGGGAGUGGCAUGCUGUGUGCACCAGCAGGGCUAGUAUCAGAGGUCAAGGUCAUUGGGCAUCUGAUGAGGGCCACAUCCCAACAAGACCCACUGUUGGCUUGCAGUGCCUCCCUAUCCUUCCUCUUUGUCCUUGCUGUUUCUGCCCAUUUCCCAAGCAUGCAAGGCCUGGUAAAAGCACAGUGAGGAAGCUGCUGCCUCCACCCAGUGCAGAUCAGACACAGUGCCUCGCCACUGCCAAAAAAGCUGGAACCAACACUGUGCACCAGCAGUAGCCAUAAUUAAUGCUAACCAGGGUGUCCAUCUUCACCAGGAUUUGAAACUAGGAUUUAAAGUGGAUUUGCAAACUUCAGUUGUGAGAGAAGCUGGCUAGCAUGAGGUAAAGAACCAGCUGUGUGUUAUCUUUCAUAGGUGAUUUAACGAGAUGUGGGCUUUCUAGUCAGCAAAGCCCUCCAUUCUCUUUGAAGACGGAAACUGCAUCUGUUAUAGAACAUGGUUCAGUUGGAACAUUGUCCUAGUGCUGUGUUUUUUAAAUUCCUGUUAGGGAUGGAAGAAGGCACCACUUUCUGUUCUGCCCUGUUUUCGUCACAUGCGGCACUAUUUUUGUUGUGCUGCUGUUUGUCUUCUGCCAAAGACAGAAGUUUUUCUAUUUGCUGUGGCAAAAUUACGUAACCUGCCUAAUGUACAUAAUUAACUAUGUAAUCUACGUAAAUCACGUUGUCGUUACGUUCUUCCAUCCCAUUUGUUUCAGUGCAAAAGAAACACACUACAAAUGGGCGUGGGGAGGCGGGUGGAACAUAUCAUUGGUGGCCAGAAAGCAAUAGCAAAUAUUGAUCUUAUUUGCUGGAUUGAUUUCCAUUCUAGAAAUGAUAAAUAAAUGGACAAUUUCUUCUAUUUCCAUUUUCAUCAGAAUUUUCCAAUAUUCCUAGUUGGUAUCAUACAUGGGAUCCAAAUGCAAAAUGUGGUGGGGCACUGCCAACACCUUGCAGUUCCUGGGAGGGGGGGAAAAGAGUCUUGUGACAUUGUUCAUAGCCCACAAAGGACAGCGAGGGAGGAAAAGGAUGCCAUCUUUCUUUCUCACCUUUUGAAAUCUUCCCUACUUCUUCUUCUUCUUCUUCUUCUUCUUCUUAUUAUUAUUAUUAUUAUUAUUAUUAUUAUUAUUUUGCAGCAUGCAUUCUUGCCACCCUAAUUCUCACCUUCAGAACAAUAUAAAAUGUUAGAGCAUCAAGCAGGCCAAUUCCCCACCUCCCUAGUUCCUCCUCACCCACCCACUCAAUAGAACUAAUGUUUGCGAUGUUCUGCAGCUCCUGGAAGCUAACUGAUUAUUCUCAGUCUUCUGGCCUGGGGAGGAGAUGUUUGUAAAUUUUCAAACUUUUUUCAAAUGCAUUUGUGCACAUCUGGGAAGUCCCCCUUUCACCACCAAACUGAAAGACAUAGUGCCAUCAAGUUCAGUAUUAUCAGAAUAAGAUAAAGCAUAACUUCUUUCUCCCUAAGGAAUGUUUUGGUUUUUUAACAUUGUCAAGCAUGUUGUCUGUCACCACACAUUUUAAUUUUGGGGGUUUAGCUUUUCCAUUUUGGCUUGCUCCAAUUGGCUUGUCUAUUGGGGUAUAAAUUCCUUUGUACUGGACCUUUUUCCAAAUGCUACCAUAGUUCUUGGUGGCUUUUGCAAGGAAGGAGAGGCCUUGCAAAGGACGUCCUUUCUUUUGCUUCUGAAAAUGAGGCACUGGGGUGCAGUAGAGCCCUUUUAGCAGCACCACUCUCUGCAAUGCAGCAGGUAUUCAUGACUGCCAACCCUAUGGUCCCUUAAAUGGUGCAGUGGGAGUAAAUAAAACAUUUAAGGAUGUGCUACAUUUCCCCCCCCACCCUAUUUCUUAUCAGAAGCUGUUUGACAACAUUGUUCUCAUUGACUUCAACUGAUGGUAACUUCUAUUACUUCGCGGAAAUGUGGCCCUUUGAUGAGAGAAAGGGAAUUUUAAAAUCACGAGUCAGACAUUCAAGAAUGUGAUAAACACUACAGUUUUAAAUAAGGAAACAUAAAUGUGGGGAGUUGGUUUUUUACUUGUGUGCUGUUUCUUCUGUUGAUGCCAACUUCCUUUUGCUUUACUUUCCCAGAAUUCUUACCUCAUGAACAAUAUUAUAUCAGAUGUCCAACAGACCACAGAAUUUUGAGAGAAUGAUGCCUAAUAGCAGGAAUUCUGUCUGAUCUGGUACAUGAUGCUUGCCAUUCCUUCGUCCCAUCAAAACCUGAUGUGAAUUCAUCAUGCGAAACGCAGGACUGGAUGAAUCACAAGCCGGAAUUAAGAUUGCCAGAAGAAAUAUCAACAACCUCAGAUAUGCAGAUGACACAACCUUGAUGGCAGAAAGUGAGGAGGAAUUAAAGAACUUUUUAAUGAGGGUGAAAGAGGAGAGCGCAAAAUAUGGUCUGAAGCUCAACAUCAAAAAAACCAAGUUCAUGGCCACUGGUCCCAUCACCUCCUGGCAAAUAGAAGGGGAAGAAAUGGAGGCAGAGAGAGAUUUUUCUUUCUUGGGCUCCUUGAUCACUGCAGAUGGUGACAGCAGUCACGAAAUUAAAAGACGCCUGCUUCUUGGGAGAAAAGCAAUGACAAACCUAGACAGCAUCUUAAAAAGCAGAGACAUCACCUUGCCAACAAAGGUCCAUAUAGUUAAAGCUAUGGUUUUCCCAGUAGUGAUGUAUGGAAGUGAGAGCUGGACCAUAAAGAAGGCUGAUCGCCGAAGAAUUGAUGCUUUUGAAUUAUGGUGCUGGAGGAGACUCUUGAGAGUCCCAUGGACUGCAAGAAGAUCAAACCUAUCCAUUCUUAAGGAAAUCAGCCCUGAGUGCUCACUGGAAGGACAGAUCGUGAAGCUGAGGCUCCAAUACUUUGGCCACCUCAUGAGAAGAGAAGAAUCCUUGGAAAAGACCUUGAUGUUGGGAAAGAUGGAGGGCACUAGGAGAAGGGGACGACAGAGGACGAGAUGGUUGGACAGUGUUCUCGAAGCUACGAACACGAGUUUGACCAAACUGCGGGAGGCAGUGGAAGACAGGAGUGCCUGGCGUGCUAUGGUCCAUGGGGUCACGAAGAGUCGGACACGACUAAACGACUAAACAACAAAUGGUCCCAGAUACCCUGAGAUUGUUGACAAGUUCCCCCCAUGUAGUUCUGGGCUGCUUCAUCACCGUUCUCAUGAUCAUUGCAACUCCACGAGAUGAGAUCUUGCAUGGAGCCCCAGACCGAGGGAGGUUGACAGUUGUUUUGUUUUCUUCCAUUUGCGGAAUUACUUCCAUUUGCGGAAUUACUGCACCAACUGCUGUCACCUUCUCACCAAGCUGCUUGGCAAUACUCUUGUAACCCAGCCCAGCCUUGUGCAGGUCUACAAUCUUGUCCCUGACAUCCUUGGACAGCUCUUUGGUCUUGGUCAUGGUGGCUACUUUGGAAUCUGCUGGACUGAAGCUUCUGUCGACAGGUGUCUUUUGCACAGAUACUAUAACGAGCUGGGAUUACAGGUAAAACCUCUCCCUUACAGCAGGUGCUUCUAAUCUCAGCUCAUUACAUACAGUGAAGAUACCAGGUAGCCUGACAUCUGGUUGGUUGAAUGCACAUCUGACUUUUGUCUUCUGGGUUUCUGGGGGUUUCCUGUUGUUAUUCUGUCUCUCACAGCUACAAUAAACCUACCAUUAAAAUUAUGGACUUGUAAAUUCUUCGUUGGGGGCAAACAGGCAAAUUUAGCAGGGGAUCAAAUACUCCCCCCCCCACUGUAUGUUAUGGAUAAUGUCGUGUGAACAUGCGUUAAAAACCCAGCACUAGAAAUGCAGUGAGUGCUCAGUAAAUGGGUGUGUGAAUAUAGCCUCAAUUUCAAAAGAUGACAAGUGGUACCAGCAAGGAAACAUUGGAUUGUAGCCUCACUUUCUAAUGCAGCUGCCCCUGUAGAGGGUUUCACCAACCAGCCAGGAUUCUGUAAGCUAACUCAACUGGUGCCACACCCAUUUCCUAUUUUCUAACUCUCACUCUACACUCCAUGGCUAGUGAGCAUAUAUAUUCAGUCCUUAUUGACGGGGGCGGUGGGAACUUGCCUGGUUACAUUUUUCAACAGGGUUGGUUGUGUUGGGGUUUUUUGGGGGGGGGGAGGGUUGUUUUGUUUUUUGUUUUGUUUUGUUUUGAAUUCUGCAAAGCUCAUGGUAUUCCCAAGUAUGAGGAUACCUUCAUCUUGUUUUUUUAAUGGCUAUGCAUUUGCAACUUGAAUUGUUAGGCAGAAUGGUAUCACAUCCAGGGACACCCAUUUCACAUAUUAUCAUGGUCUGUGUCCUUGCACUUCAAGAAUAACUGAAGAGAGAGAGAGUGCAUCAAAACAGCUGGGUGAUAUCUCUUUUUCUUUAACACAGAGUCUCCAACACAACUGAGAUUAUGGUUUUCUGGACCUCACCAGAAUUAAUACAUUGCCAGCAUGUUACUUUGCUCAAAUGGCUGCAUGUGGAAUAGCAUCAUGGAGCCACUUGUUUCUUCUCACAGCAGAGUAGAAUAUUACUGUGAUGCCUCAUUGGCUUGUGUGGAAUGAUUAUCUUGCCUUUCUGGCAUGCUUGACUACCUCUUGUUUGAUUUAGGAGGAAUAGCUAGUGAAACAGUACAAUAUCUCUUCUCAGCACUGGCUGAUCAGAAUUUGGCAGGCUUUCCUGAAGGAAACAAAAUGGAUUCAUUUUGAUUCAGGUUCCUUUCAAUAAUACAUCUAGCAAUCCAAAAAUGUAUGAAUCAUCUCACUUCUUAAUAGCCAAUGUGUCGUUUUUGUCAGAACUGAGUGAACUUUUAAAAAAGAAUCUCCAUAUGCAGCUAUUUGAGCAAAGUAACAUUUUACUCUUUAUAGAAGGGUGGUCCAAUGCUCUGCUGGCCUGCAAGGCGUCUUUUGGCAGCCCGUGGCAAGGCAAGGAACAGGAAGCGACUCCUGGGGCAUGAGCGGCUCUAGGAAGAAGGUAUGAGGGCUCUGACAGGAGGGUCUUUGAGUCCUUGUGUCUCCAUCCCAAAACCUAGUUAGUGCUUUUCCAGCUUUGGAAAGGUGGUGGGAGGGCUCUAAGAUCCUGUCAGAGCACUCAUGUCACCUCCUCAAAGCUAGGCAAGCGCUUACUAGGCUUUGAAAAGGUUGUCCUUCAGCUUGAUGCCCAGUGCAGGCAAACCGGUCACACUGCUUUAAAUCCAGUGCUGCCCCCACCUCUCAGUGCCAGGAAGGAGGAAAUGAAGUGCUAGGUGAGAGCUGUCCCUGAAGCAGCAGACACCUGGAAAUGGUGCUGGUACUGGUGGUAGUGAGUUGGGGGAACUCCUCAUUGUCUCUGGAGCUCAUGGGUCAAGGGCCUGGCUGGGGAAAGAGGGAUCAGUGAGGUGGGGAGGAGCAGCAGAAGUUUGGGGCAAUCAGGGUGGGUAGAUCUCAGCUGCGUGGAGUGUGAACAAUUAAUUGUAAGGCUUCCCCAAUCCUUUUAUAGGUACAAUAAUACCUCCGCGAACGUCUGCCUUGUCUAGCGUUCAUUCCGGUGAACAUCCACAGCAAACCCGGAAGUACCAGAACGAGUUACUUCUGGGUUUGCCGCGCAGAAGUGCAAAUUGUUCUGCACGCGUGCGCAGACACGGCGCUUUGCCCUGCAUCCUUUUUGGCUAGCGGCCAGGGCUCUGGAACGGAUCCCGGCUCUAAAAUGAGGUACAACUGUAUAUUUUCUUUGCCCUUCAUUGUCAAUUUGUGCUACCUGACUCUAGUUGGAAUCUUUGUUAGAGAGUGUAAGAGAGAAAACAAAUGGGGGUAAAUAAUAUUAGGCCAAAGAGGAAAAAAUUAUUUGUGCUUCUCUGUUGUUGUUAUUUAGUUCUCUGCAAUGAUAAUACUAGUGCAGUCUCUGCAGCAAGAAAACGAUAAAAGAUAACUCCACUCUUCUUCAUUUAUGUCUGUGCCCUUGAAUAAGGUAAUUUUUGUGAAUCCCCAUCCCCUACCCUUUCAUUUAGACAGAUUAGAAAGACCAACCAUGCAUACGUCCCAGGGUAUGGUUUGAAGGCAUGUGAGGCCACCACUUUACUGAAACAGAGCAUAUCUGAGUGCAUCUGAUGCGUGGAUGGGAAAACUCCUAGGAACUGUAUGCAUGCCACUUUGGGAUCCAUGUAAAAAGGGUGGGAUUUAAAAUUUAAGAAAAUGCAAGUGAGUGAUACCUUCAUUCUAGUUCUGCUAGUUUCUAUUUAUGUUGUAUUAAAAAGAUCGCUAAGGAAACAAGUUUUCCCAUUGAAUACAAUGGAACCAGGACUUUACAAAUAGCAGAAAACAUAUAUUUGGGUACAAUAGUUAUGACUGUGGUACACAAGAAGUAUGUCUCUAGCAAAUAUCACCCAUCAAUAAAAUAGAAAGGGUCCUACUGUGGGGUUCCCAGGCUUCAGAGACACGCAGUUUUGUCCUUAAGCUGCAUUGCUCCCUGUUGUCUUAUUAGCAAAUCCUCUGUAAUCUUCUGCUGGACCACCAUUUCAGGAAUGCUAGGUUAACACUGAAACAUCUAACACAUUUCAGCCAAUCAUUAUGAAACAUUUUGUUGAGAAAGAAAAAGGGUUUCAGUUGUUGAGUCACCAGUAAACUAUGUACCUGUUGAGUACCUGUUGAGUAUGAAAUGUUAUUUAGCUCUAGGCAUAGGUAAAAUUAUCUUGCUGUGAACAGGAAAGAAUGUAAGCUGACCUACAGGUAGAAGCCUGUGAAUAAUGUCCUAUGGCAUGUUUAGUACAUUAUAGCUGGAAGAACAGCAGUGAAGGGGUUGAAUAAGCCUGUUCUCUUGGACCAGCAAACAAGUCUCCUACUGUCCAUAAAUUAAGUUAUUAAGGGUCAUCUUAGUCAAUUGGCUGAUGCAAUUAUUAAACAAAAACUAUAUAGAUCACUUAUUGUUAGGUAUUGGGGUGCUUCUUUUCCUCAGUGGAAUUAUGCCUGAGGGUUAAGCUUAUUUCAGGCUUGUUCUUUUUUUUAAUCCUAGAAUCUCUAUGGUCCACCAACACAUUUUAAAUGUAUGAAGCAAGAGUAUCUUCAUUAGUCCUUAACAGUCAAUGCAUAACUAAUGUGUAUUAAGAGAUCUUUAAUAGGCAUUCUUACUUAAGAAUGUGUCUUGCUGAAUCAGCUUAAGAGGCACCUGGUCCAGGAAACAGGCUGGUAUUGCAGCUCCCAGCAGGUGCUAAGUGAUCCACUGGAGAAGAAUAAGCAGUCUUUCUAGAUUGUAUUCCUUUGUGCCUAUUUCCUAGUUGGCCUACACAUAUUUAUAUUUUGUUUUACGUUAUAUUAUAAACAGUGUGCAGUUAUUUUUGAACAUUUUUAAUAUAGACAACUUGCAUGAGGGUUAAGUUCCAGGGACUGUGCGAAAUUGCAUAUAGCCGGAACAACCCCACAACUGAACAUGUGCAACCAUAAGUGUUUUCCUUCUAGAAAAAAAGGUGCCGGUAUGGCGGACCCUUGAGUACCCCCAGAAAAAAAGCACUGGUGACCAUUCCUACCUUUCUGGAGCUGGCGCACUUACCCCCCAUGCAAGCCCAGAGGCCUGGUGAGACUUUUCCAGAGCCUGGGAACCAAGGCAGAGAGCUUAAAGUUUUCUGCAGUGGGAAAGUGUGGUGUAGAAAGAGCUUUCAAGCUCUCUGCCUUGCAUAAGAGUAUUUAAUUUGUGAGAUUGCAUGCUGCCAAACAUGUAAAGCUAUAAUUGCACAAGUUAAAUAUGUGCAGGUUGCAAGUCAACUUUACUGUACUUUCUGUCAGGUGUUUGUACACAACAUAGGGUGCAAUUUGUAGAAACGGAGUAUAAAAUUAAAAGCAAAAUAUCCAUUUGUGGGGGAGGGACAUAUGGCAUGCUUAUCUCCCUACACUACAGCAGCCAGACUCAGGAGAGGUGAAGGGGAAAGCACAGGAAGUAACUGCAUCAUUCACCCCUCCCAUGUGGUUUUCCUGUGACUGGUCUUCCCAGAACUGUAUGGAAAGCAGCCAAAGGAAAGCUGUAACCAUUCUAGAUAACUUAAGAACCAGCCACUUGAUGGGUUUGGGUGCUCUUACCAGUACUAUGUUAAUUAUAAACAACUUCUCCAUUUAUUAUUCUGUGUUUUCCACACUUGCCAGAGAGUAGUUUCCUCUAGGAGUGCUGCACUGGAAAUCCUCAGGAGGAAAAUGUGGGUGCUUAUGAUAAGCUUUCACUUAAUUUCUUUUUCCAAUGCCUUAUUACGGCAUUUCAGCCACAAACACAAGAAGAGAGCACAGAGUCCUUCUGUUUCAUAAUCUCUCCAGCUGGUCCUAUUUCAAUUAAAGAGGAAAAAUGAGGUACUACAUAGCUGUUACAAAACAUCUUACGUGGCAGCAUGAUAAUUUGCAUAUGUGGUAGGAGUCCAGGAAGGCACCAUCGCCUGCUUCAUGUUGACAUUUUACUUGUCCUUAAAAGGACUUGGUGGAGGGUGGGGGAGAGAGAGAAAGAGCUGGCAGCUUGCUAUGAUUAUUAAAAAAGAAAGAAAUGAGGCUAUUUGCUAAUAACUGUAGCUUGCAAGGUGAAAUUAAAACAUUGCUUUAUGGAAUUUGUUUGGUUCUUUUAAAAUGUCAUCUGUCUGAAGGUUGGUGGUUUUAAAUAUAGCCUCCAAGCACCUUUUAUACAACCUCCAGUGCUGAUAAGGAGCUUGAUAAAAGCUUUUAUCUAUGCCAAAGGGAGAUGUUUCAUGCCAAGACGUUUAAAGCCAUGUAAUCUCUACUGCCCUUACCCUGCUAGGAAAAGGGCAUUUGUCUUGAGAUUUGUAUAAUAUCCAAUAAUUUGCCUUCCUCCUCCUGUUUUUAGCUCUUUGUCAUGCUUAUUAAAAGAGAAGUUGGCUCUUUUUAGUUUGUCUGAGUUUACUAAUCACCAGAGCAUCCAGAUUAUUUUCACUCAGCUUGGCUUCUUUAUAUUUUAAAGUAACCUCUACUGGUAUACUGUCUCUCAUGAAUGUUCAAUCUGAGAUAUCCCAUAUUCUCUCUAGGUAGUUAAAAUACUAGCUGUUUUUAAGUUCCAUACAUGACUGCUGCUGGAAAAAAUGUUGUUGCCCUAGUGUUUCCUGCAACAUGUAUUAUAGAUGUCAUACACUUGAGUACACACAUCCUUAAAUUUUCAUGUUACAUGAUCUGGGAAAUCUGAUAGGAUAGGGUUCUCAAAUGCAUACAUAUGACUGUUUAAAGAUUUGUCUCUUUGGGACAGAGAAUUCUUUGUUUGGGUUAUGUUGAUCUGUAAAGUGCAAUUUAUACUGACGGUGUUAUAAAAAAAAAAAUCCUAAUAGGCAUUAUUCUUCCUUACUCCAUAGGUUGGCUAUACCUUGCUGUUACAGCUGUCAAGUAUCUUUGCUGAAUAAAUCUAAGGACGAGAAAUGUUUCAGAUUCCAUUAGUUUUGCUCGUCAAGUUUCAAGUAGCUGAAAUACCAAUGCUUGUACUGAUACAAGGAUGGCUACCUUCAUUGUUAGUGCCCUACAAAAAAUGAUGUAUGAGUCUGUGGUCAAUUUAUAAGAGACCAUCAAGAAACUGAUACUUCAAGAACAGUGAUGCGAUCAACAGAAAGUUAACACUGGUAAUGAUGCCGAAACCUCUUUUUCAAAUCACCACAUUACCGCUGGUUCAGAAGGGUCCCUUCAUAAUUCUGCAUUGAUUGAAUGAAGUUAGCAACUUAAAUGAUUUAUCUGAUAUUCUCCUAAAACCUAAAGUACUCCAUGUGAAUAAGCUGUUACAUUCAAAGGGGAAAUCUAAAUAUGUAUGUGUGCACAAAAGAUACAGAAGAAUGGCUAUGUCUGACUUGUAUGAAGAAAGUACAAAAGCAGUGGCUGUGGUCCAGGCAGCUCAGAUAGCCAAAAUUUUAUUGAGCCAUGCCACUGCUGCUUCUAACAAGCCAGGCAGAACCACCCCUGGCUACCCACUGAAUCCUUGUACUCAGCCAACCAAGUUGAUUGUAUGAGAAAUAAAUCACGUUAGCUCUCCAUUUGAUAGUCAGUGCCUUCCCUGUGUUGCUGGUCCUCGCACCUGACAUAGCUAUCUAGAAGCAAAAUGCAUUUAGCCAACCAAACUACUCCAUGCCAAGGCUAGGUGAACUUAGACUAGCAGAGGGAAGGCAAUAUUGCCACCAUUUUCUAAUGGUGUACUUUCCUGAGAUACUGUUUGAUGUGUUUACCCUCAAACCAGCUUCAGUCCAAAAGGUGAAGUUAUGUCACGUUUGCUUUGCAGUUAAGGUGAGGUGUGUAUAUUGGAGACAGCCAUUGGGGCAGUUGCAGGAGUGGCAAAACAAAUAGGUAAUACAACCUGAAAUGCAGUGAGGAAAUGACCUUGCUGUGUUUUAAGAUGCUAAUAUGUAAGUAGCCCAAGUAUCCUGCAGGCAAGCAUAGUGAAUGUUUGAUGACAAAGCCUGCCUCAUCUCAAACCCAGAACUAGCUACAUCUUUUUAUACCCCGCCCAUCUGGCCGGGUUUCCCCUGCCACUCUGGGUGGCUUCCAACAAAUACCAAAAUACAUUAAAAUAUCACAGGUUAAAAACUUCCCUAAACAGGGCUGCCUUUAGGUGUUUUCUAAAUGUCAGGUAGUUGUUCAUCUCCCUGACCUCCGAUGGGAGGGCGUUCCACAGGGCGGGUGCCACUACCGAGAAGGCCCUCUGCCUGGUUUCCUGUAGCUUUGCGUCUCGCAGUGAGGGAACCACCAGAAGGCCCUCGGCGCUGGAUCUCAGUGUCCGGGCAGAACGAUGGAGGUGGAGACGCUCCUUCAGGUAUAUAGGACCGAGGCCGUUUAGGGCUUUAAAGGUCAGCACCAACACUUUAAAUUGUGCUCGGAAACGUACUGGGAGCCAAUGUAGGUCUUUCAAGACCAGUGUUAUGUGGUCUUGGCGGCUGCUCCCAGUCACCAGUCUAGCGGCUGCAUUCUGGAUUAAUUGCAGUUUCUGGGUCACCUUCAAAGGUAGCCCCACGUAGAGCACAUUGCAGUAGUCCAAGCGGGAGAUAACUAGGGCAUGCACAGUCUGCGGGCAGGUAGGGUCUCAGCCUGCGUACCAGAUGGAGCUGGUAGACAGCCGCCCUGGACACAGAAUUAACCUGUGCCUCCAUGGACAGCUGUGAGUCCAAAAUGACUCCCAGGCUGCGCACCUGGUCCUUCAAGGGCACAGUUAUCCCCUUCAGGGCCAGGGAGUCCCCCACCCCCGCCCACCCCGUCCCCCCAAAACAGUACUUCUGUCUUGUCAGGAUUCAACCUCAAUCUGUUUACCGCCAUCCAUCCUCCAACCGCCUCCAGGCGCUCACACAGGACAUUCACAUUCAUCUAAUUUUAAUGCAUCCAUCAUGGUAAAAACAGCUGUCUGCACUACAGAAGCUGGAUCCAAUGGGGUGAUGCAGAUGCUGGAGAAAGUAAGCCCAUACCUGUAGGGUGGGAAGUUCAGGCCACUUACCUCUGUGCUGAUUGCACCUUAGCAAAAAUUCCUAUACAGUAUGAAGCUGCUGACGUGGCACCUGCAAGAAAAAAGUGUCAGCAUAAAUAUUAAUGACCUGCUCUUUAAAUGCAGUUGAUUUGCAGCCCAAUAAGGAAGUAUUAUAGUUAAGUAUUGAACCGGUCUGUUUUCCAAAGGAAAAGAGGUUGCUAGGGACCCACUUACCUCAAAGGAGUAACUUUGGUUUUAGAUUUGGAUUGCAGCUAAAUAGCUACUCACUGCCUGGGUACCAGGACUUCCACACUGGAUGUCUUAGUCCCCUUAUCUGGAAGAGAUUUUAUUGCAGCAAUACUAUACUGAUUUUUGCUAGCUUUCAAUCAAAACACAAUGCACAAAGGAAAAGCAACUGUAAAUAUAACUAUUAUUCAAUAAUUAUAUCAUUUUUAAUAACUUCUAAUGCAGGAACAGAACAAGCCAAUUGUGGAUGGUGGAUGAACAUUCGUGGCAUUUGCAGCAGAGACAUAAAAAGAAUAAAAUAAAUAGUGCAUGAGAAAUGAAAUUGAAGAAGAAAAGUAGUAUUUCAAUAGACCGAGAAGGAAUACGCAGAGAUGAGAGGUGUCCAAGAUCAUGGAGACACUUAAACAUAAAUAAAGGAAACUUAAAGGAGAGAGAGACAAUGCAAGCAAAGGAGAAAGAAGGUCCAAAUGAGAGGAAAGAAUAAGUAACCUGAAGAACUCAAAAUAGGCAUUAAUGGCUGCACCAAAAAAAUGGGAAACCAAAUAAAAUCCCAGUAAUCAUAAAUAUAAAUAUACUAAAUACAUUUUUAGGGAUUCAACAUAGUUGUAAUAUUGUUAAGGAAGUAUUGUUUCAUUUUUACUAUUAUGCAGUGCAGUCAGUAUACAUAGCACUUUAAAGAGUAACAACAAGAAGGGAUCCUGGCUCAGGGACUUAGAACGUAAAAUUAAACAGUAGGAGCAACAGGGAAAAUUGUGAAGUCAAGAAAGAACAGAAAUGAUAAAAAGUGAAUGAGUGAAGAGAUUACUAAAGCAAGGCAUGACCUACAGGAUCAAAUCCACAAGAUCCAGGAAAAAGAAUGGGGGGAUAGUGUAAGAUGCUGUGGAUUUACAUGCAGGGCAGUUAAUGUAAAAUGAGGACAAAAAGCAAACUAAAAAAUGAUCAAAAGUCAGAUUUUACAUUAGAAUGAACAACCUCAGGCAGCUUUGAAAGGAAUUUAAGAGAAAUAGAAAGAUGGGAUCCAAACACUAUUUCUUAAAACAGAAGAAAUGAUAAAUGCUUAAGGACCAAUCCAAAAGAUUAAAAAGAUGGUUUAAGAGGAAUAAACAUGAGGAGAUAUAUUUAUUUUAUGUAUUUUAUAGGCUGCCUUUCAGAAUUGCCUCUUGAGGCGUCCCAACAAGUUAAAAACAGUCUAUGAUGUUGAGUAAGAAACCAAGGCAGGAGAGGGUGAAGAGGAUGAGUUGUGAAUUCAGGAGAACUGAGAACACAAAGUAGGUUGAAAAUAAGCAGAAGAGACAAAAGAAGAAAUAAAGUGGUGACAAAACACAACAGUAAUAAAGAAUGAAUCCUUGACGUUUCAUCAACAAACUAUAUAUUAGUGCGUGGUUGGCAUAGCUGCCAAAUUUCCCUUUUCUCGCAAGGAAGCCUAUUCAGCAUAAGGGGAUUUCCCUUAAAAAAAAAAGGGAGAACUUGGCAGCUAUGGUGGUUGGGUGCUGGUGUAAAACAAAAAUCUUGGGGGUCCACCAACCUUUCUGGCAGGUCCCAGGAAGGUUCAGGAUUUAAACAUCUGUAUUAAUUAGAGCAUACAAUGAAGAUUACAAAAACCGUGGAAGAACAGCAGUCAGUAAGAGGGUUAGCAAGAAAUAAAGACAAACCUGUUCCCUCAUUGGUUUCUCUGUGUGCCCUGGUUUCUAUAUGUCCUCCACAAGCUGUUCUUUCCCAGGGUCAAAGGAUAAAGGUAGAGCCCCAAGAGACAGCAUGUUCUCAGGCCCUCGAUGUUCUCUGCAAGUCUUGUACCUGGUUCUCUCAAGUCUCCUGACCCUGUAAAAUGAGAACAGAAUAUGAUAGGGAAGUUAAUGGGAGAAGAAAGCCUCAACCCUUUCUGCUUGAGGCUGCAUCAUUUCUUGCCUCUUUGGGCUUCAGUGGCUAGCACUAUUAUGUUAUAAGACGACCUUACCAACCUUACUAUAUGCUUGUGAAACAUGGACCACUUAUAAAUGCCAUCUCCAACUCCUCAAAAGAUUCCAUCAACGGUGUCUCUGAAAAGUUUACACAUCACUUGGGAAGACAGGCAAACUAAUAUCAGUGUACUGGAAGAAGCACCAGUGUUGAAGCAAUGAUUCUUCAACAUCAACUUUGUUGGACUGAUCAUGUUGUGCGGAUGCCUGAUGGUCAUCUUCCAAAGCAACUACUCUAUUCCGAACUUAAAAAUGGAAAGUGUAAUGCUGGUGGUCAACAAAAGAGGUUUAAAGACUGUCUCAAGGCAAAUCUUUAAAAAUGUAGUAUAAACACCGACAACUGGGAAACACUGGCCUGCGAGCGCUCCAGUUGGAGAACAGCCUUUACCAAAGGUGUUGUGGGCUAUGAAGAAACUCGAUUUCAGGACGCAUGGGAGAAACGUGCUAAGAGGAAGGCACGCUUGGCAAAUCUACACCAUGAUCAACUCCCACCUGGAAACCAAUGUCCCCACUGUGGAAGGACAUCUGGAUCCAGAAUUGGCCUCCACAGUCACUUACGGACCCAUUGUUAAAAUCGUGUUUAUGGAAGACAAUCUUACUCGGCUACAAGUGAUCGCCAAAGAAGAAGAAGAAAGAAGUUAUAAGACGAGGAGGCAGGCCAGUUACACCCAACAAAACUGUCAAGAUGUGAGAAUUUCGGCCCUGACCGGCAGAGUAAUUUGCCAUUUUUGGAGUAAUUAAGAAGAUACAGAGAAUGGUGAAGAGAAGAAUAAGCAAAAUAAUCAAUAUGAGAAUUAAAAGGUCCAAGAAUAAGAGAGGGGAAGGAAUUAGCUAUGAGCCAAAGAACACGAGUAAUGCAGAGAAUAGAAUAUGGGAAGAUAUGAGUACCACAAAUUUGAAAUUCACAAAGAAAUGAGAAGGGGGGUGGGGGGGGAGAGAAUAUGAAACUGGUAAGGGGGGGGACUACAAGCACCACCAUGCUCUGUAACAUGAGUGGGAAAAGGGAAAGCAGAUUAACUAAAGAGUGGCAGAAGUAACUCAAAUGAAGAGUUACCUUUCUCAAUAAGGGCAAACAAUGACAGAAACUGGGAUUAAAACUCUGUAAAAGAAUUGUUUCAUAAGCCAAAAUAUGCCACUGAGUGUCAUUGGACAAAAAUAGUAUUAGGAAAUGAGAUUGAGCAGGGACUAAGAUUAGGUAAAAUAUCACCAGCAAUAAAAAGUAAGAAGAACAGCCCCUCAUAGAAAAACUGCAAAAAAAAUAAAUAUCAGUAGAUAUGGCAAAGGGUAAAACCAGUGAAAGGACCACAAAACAUUUGGUACAGUAGGGGAAUAGGGUGGAGGAAAUCAAGAGUUCCAAAAAUGGGGGGAUUACUUGGGACUUUCCUUGCCUCUCCUCAAAAGGGGUAGUAAUGAAGUUGUGAUGUAGCUUACUUGCUCCAUUGACUUCAGUGAGCUGUACGUGAUUAGCUAAAAUGGCCAGACUGUUAAUAAGAUAAAGUUUAAUGCAAGUAAGAAACAUAGCCAUCUAUUAACAUUAAACUAUGUAAAAUAACAAACCUUCUUUUCUUACUAUAUAAAUAAGUAAAGAAGAAAAUGAAAAGUUUAAUGGAUAAAAUGUUUUGGGGUACUGUAUCUUUUUCUUGUUUUCAAAAGCUAACAUAUUUACCUUAUAAAAUGUUCUGGAUUCUUCGGGUUUUAUGCAUAAUAGAAUGUUGGCAUACAUUUAUGUUCAUAUUUUCAGCAUUUGUUUUAUUACAAUGAAAGUAGUGCACAUACUAAACCAAGAAAUAGCCAUUUCCUUCUAGGAAACUUGGAAGAUCAACUUUCUUUAUAGUGCUUGGAUUCUGAAGAUGGUACCAGCACAAGAAUGUGUCUUCCUCUGGAAGCUGGUUUCACAUGGUGGCUUAGAUUUUCCCAUCUUUGUAUCUAGCACCAUUUGAAAUCAGUGUUCUAGGAGCAAGAAUUACAGCACUGGAUCCAGAGAAGAACAGGAAGCAAGAGCACAGUAGUCACCAAAUUUAAUUUGGUAAUAUUCAUAUGUCUUUCUCUGUGUCUCAGUAAGAGAAAAUGUUUAAAGCUGUAGCUUAAGUUAUAGUUAACUGUAGUUAAGUUAAGGGACCCAGGUGGCGCUGUGGUUAAACCACUGAGCCUAGGGCUUGCUGAUCAGAAGGUCGGCGGUUCGAAUCCCUGUGACGGGGUGAGCUCCCGUUGCUUGGUCCCAGCUCCUGCCAACCUAGCAGUUCGAAAGCACCUCAAAAUGCAAGUAGAUAAAUAGGAACCGCUACAGCGGGAAGAUAAACGGCGUUUCCAUGUGCUGCUCUGAUUUGCCAGAAGCAGCUUUGUCAUGCUGGCCACAUGACCUGGAAGCUAUACGCCGGCUCCCUCGGCCAAUAAUGCGAGAUGAGCGCGCAACCCCAGAGUCGGCCACAACUGGACCUAAUGGUCAGGGGUCCCUUUACCUUUACCUAAGUUAUGCCUAGAGUACAAGAAAAUACAUUGUAGUACAGAGUGGCUGCCAUUCUACUGCUUGCAUGCAGCAGUGAAAGCUGCAAAUGGAGAGCCCACUGCACUUGGUGAGACAUGCAAAGAAAUUAGGCUUGGGGAAAGCAAUCUAUGGUGGAACUGCGGCAACUUCCUAUGAAGGGGGUUGGGAUCCAAAGACAUCUGGUCCGCCUUUUCCCACCUCAUCACCAGCAGUACAUCUAUGCAGAGCUUUCCACGGGGGUACUGGGGACUCUUCUGGGGGUAUAUGUGCUGCCUUGCUGGUGGAGCAGCAGUUAGGCAUACUCUGAAGAACCCUCAGCCAACUUCCAGCUAGCCGUCAGAUUGCUUCAUUUUAUUUGCAUUAAUUUCACCACCUUUCAUUUUCCUGCCAUAGUUAUUUGAAUUCCAUCAGCUUUCACACAAAAAACACUGUUGCAUGCAACUUUAAUGGGUAUUCCAUAAAAAUGUAAAAGUGAGGAAAUUUUGAAUAUAACAUCCUAUUUGUUUCAAAUUAGUGCAUGCUUAAGUACCAAUAGUAAUGUGGGAAAUUUACAUUUUACUUUUGGCUAUUUGAAUGUUGGUGGUGAUAAGUCAUAUAAUUAGGAACAGAACAUUUAUUGAGUACUAUAACCAUAUUUUUCAGGCCAGCGUCUUCCAAACUCAAAGUAAAUACCUAGUAACAAGAUGCAUUGACUAACAAUGACCAUUGUUCAAAGUUUCAUAGGCUAUGAUCUGAACAACUUGCAAGUACUCAUAACAGCCAAUAUGGAACUGGAAAAAACAUCUCUUACACAGGCUGACCGAUUUCUCUUGGUGUUCAGAGUCUUAGUUUUUGUCUAGCACCAUUUGAAAUCGGUUAUGAUGUAGGGGGAAAAGCAACUGCAAUGGAUAUGCAGAGUGUGCUGAAAAAGCUCUAUGAAGAGAUGCCUUUAAAAGACUGAUAAGACUAUUGCUUUUGUGUCUCUUGUGUGGGCAGAUAUUGCAGUAACUAUCUAAGUUCCAUUGCAAUAGAAUAUCUGUGGGCUUCACUGUCUAAAUCAGGCAUCCCCAAACUUCGGCCCUCCAGAUGUUUUGAACUACAAUUCCCAUCAUCCCUGACCACUGGUCCCGUUAGCUAGGGAUCAUGGGAGUUGUAGGCCAAAACAUCUGGAGGGCCGCAGUUUGGGGAUGCCUGGCCUAAAUCCUCUAGCUGGAGUUGUUGGAGAUGAUAGUACUGUUAUUCUGGCUGUAGACUUCAAAGUGCUCUGUUAAUCCAGCCCUGUCAGUAGAACUGUACCAAAUGCAAACAUUUGGGCUAGAUUAUUCCUUAAGGCUUAUUAUUAUUUCCAUCUUGUUUUGGCUACCUUGUUUCAAUAUCAUUUUCCCUGGAGUACUGAUGACACUCUAGCCAGCCAAAUUUGACUGUGUAAUGUCAAAGACGGGAAAUAAAGCAGGGGCCAGCAAACUAAGGCCCAGAGCCCGGAUGCGGCCCACUAGGCUCGUUAAUCCGGCCCUCAUACCUUGCGGACCCUGCUGCCCACUCAGUCAGUCCCCGUGCUAAACCAUAGCAGCGCGGAGGCUGAUUACCACAAUGCUGGCGCGGCUUCGGAUUGGCUGCAGGAAGCUCCUGCAGCCAAUCCAAAGUCAUGGACACCUCCGGGCGAUGCCCCUUCCUUCCCGCUGAGGCAGCCGUGUAGCCAAGAGCCGAGCAGGAGAAAGCGGCAUGGGCUCUACACUCUGCAGACCCCUGGUCGACGUAGAGGAUGACGACGCUGCUAAAGACGAGGCAGCGGUGACAGCUGUGGCACGAGAGGGAGGGUCUGGCCCCCACACAAAGUAUGAGGGACAGUGGACUGGCCCCUUCCUGAAAAAGUUUGCUGACCCCUGAAAUAAAGACAAUUCAGAGUGAAGCAUAUGCUUCAUCCUACUGCUGGAAUGCUUUACUUUCAUUUAUAUGUGCAUGUGUGCACAUCAGCAAUAUAUGCAUAAUAAACAUAUAUUUAACGCUGGACAAGCCAGUUUCACUCACAGAUUUGCUAGACUUAGAAGAAAAUGGCUUGAGGGAGGUAAUACCGUAUUGGCCCGCAUAUAAGCCACAUGCUCCCUCACUGGUUGGCCUGCACAUGCUCCCUCUCCCCACCGCCAACCAGCUGGGAGGCAGGCAUGCCGCUCCCCCCAACACCAAGCAACUAGGCAGCAUAUGGUAAAAAGUCGUAAAUAUAACCGCACUUUAACUUUUCAGGGUCCGAAAUUGGGGAAAAAGUGUGGCUUAUAUUUGGCCCAAUACAUUUGGUACAUGAAGGUGAACCAGACAUGUCACUGACCAUUCCUCUGCACCAAAUGAGAGAAGCACUGUAGUCGGUUUGUACCAGAAAGAACUAUGUUGCAACUGCAAGAGGAUUUUUUUUAAAAAAAAAAACAUGACAAACAAAUACUUGGAAAAAAGAGACAACAUGGGAAUACAAGAGUUUUGAAUGAAUGUUGCCCAAAUUCUUAGCAGUAAAAAUAGUAUGGAAAUGUCCUGUGUAAAACCAAAAUUGCACCAGUAUUUUGAAUCAUUCACUACUACUGACAGGCAGCAGACACAAAGUUAGGGCUGCUCACUCAGCCAAAUCAUUUUUUAUAUUCCAUUUGGUAAUAUUUGUAAGGAACAGAAUUGAAAAUAAAGCAACUAUAAUGCCCUAAAGAGGCCCAUCAAACCGCCACUUUGUGGAAUGUUAACCUUUUUAUUUACCCAGGCUUUUCCUGUUUAACUUUACUGCUAUAUUUUUAACUCCUCUUUUUGUUACACUUUGUUGAGUUGUUGGUUUUUACUGAAAAUUGCCCUAUGUUAUAAUAGAAAACAUUUACAAACAUAAAAUAUUUGUUUGCUUACUUUAAUCUGCUGCAGACAGAGGCUCAAUGUCACCUCAAUGUUCCAUUGCUCAACAUUCCCACUGCACUCCCCCCCUCCUGCCACGUCAUAGAAAAAAAUAAGCUUGUGUUGUCCAGAGCUGGACUUGUGGUUUGUUUGUCUCUAAACAAAUCAUGAGCAAUAAGCUAAGAACAAACCCUGGUAAUUGUUUGGAGCUAAACAAACCAUGAGAUUGUGUUCAGACAACACAACGCAGAUCCUGGCUCAUCUGCUGUACGACAGAAGCAUGGGGACUUUGGAGAAGCAUGGACCAGCACUCUGCAGCUUUACAUUAAACUAUACUCUUUUAAACUAUGGUUUAAAAUGUAAUGUGCAGAUUGAGCCAGAGAGACUUUUGUACUAGAAAGAAACUUAAGAGGUUUCUUCCUCUCUCUUUUUACAACAAUGAAGUAGUAUAUAAUUUUGUUAAGCAAAUUAAAAAUUUAAUUUGUAAAUUCUAGUAUGUGCAGAAAAUGCAAAAUGAAAUCAGCAGAAAUUUUUAAACCUGUGAUAUAAACUAACACUAUAUGGCACUGCUGUUUUACUUUUGUAAAAAUUUGUGCUUUGUAUGUCGUUUACAAAUCAUUCAGUUUUGCUACUUUAGUCCUCAGCAACACCAUCCAUUCCCAAAACUCCAUUUUAUUUUUCUUUAUAUAUUUUUCUGGAAUGUAAAAUCACAUUGAGAAUGAUGGUGCCUAUUAAAGUAAAUGAAUUCUAUUGCAAAAUAAUACAAAACUGAUUUUGUUGUCUCAUUCCAAUCUGUGUGUAUAUUUCCUAAGUUUCUAAGGAGAUGCAAACAAAAAUACACUUCCUUUUUUCUUUUUUGCAAUAGCUGCUGGGGGGAGGGGGACAAUUUUAAUCUGAAAUACAGAUUAGUGCUAUUGGAACUGAAUCCAAGGCCCACUUUCACAAAAAUGCUAUUUGUGUUUUCAGAAGCUGUCGUGUUCAAGUGUUAACAAUUUAUUGAACUUUGAACACACCUGUGGUUCUACAGCCUUCUUUGGUAUCAUCCUCAGGUCAUUAUUAAAUAGGAUGUGAAACCUGAUCAUAACAGCACCUCUCCAGUCAGAACUGUUAACCUGAAAUGUAGUCCUUGGGGAAAUAAAUUCUAGAAUUUUGUUGGAAACCGCAAUAUUUUCACAAAAAAAUUGUUUUUAAGUAGCCAUGACAACAGGCAAACAGCUUUUCCAGCUUUUUUUCUAGUUAUGCGGCAUGAUGUACUUUAAAAACUGGUUCUCAGUCUCAGCGAAUAUCGCUGAGUUGUAAUGGCAGGUGUUCUACUAGGUGGAAAUUGGGAACCAGACAAAAAAAGGCGGGGGAAUGUUGGUCUUACCAGUGAGGAGUUCCUUUUCUACAGUGGUAAGGGAUAUUCUUGUCUGGGCUUCUCUUCCCACUUCAGAAAACAUGACUUACGCAAAUCAGGUAUCUGUCAUGCCCUGACUGGGAGAGAGCUCCACCCUCCCUCAGUGCUGGGACAUAGUCAUGGGGCUGCAGAGUAUAGGUCCUUUGCUGUGUAGCUUACUUAGAAAAGUGUCCAACAGAAAAAACAUGGAAAGUAGAGAACAAAAUAGCCUCCAGAACAGAAGAAACGGACAAACCUACCCAAGUCCAUUUUCAAUGCAUUCUCACCUGGGAGGUAAGCUUUCCUCCUACCACUGACCAUGCCCUAUCUGGAAAAAAGAGCAGCAUUUCAUAGUCUAGGCUAGGGUCCAAGCUGUUCUUCCUACUCUACCUAACAAAAGCCAGUCAGGCAAAUUUGAAGGUGUGGUUAUCUCUUUCCAUGAUUUCAGAUCUCUUUCCAUGAUUUCAGAAUGGUGUUAAACUGCUCCUGUCUAUUUCUAAUCUACGGAUCUCAACAUUCUUGGGGUGUCUAAGAAAAUGUAAGAAACUCAUGUUCAAAAGAACUCACAUUUCACAGAAGAAAAAUUAGAUGCUUAGAAUCUCCCCUUUUUUUAAAAAAAGGCUAAACACAUACUGUACAUACAGUCUUGGCAAAAAAGCACCCCUCUUUGGAUUCUGUGGUUUUACAUAAUAGCAUAAUAACAAUCAGGUUCUUAGCAGGUUCUUAAAAUUAGGUAAAUACAACCUCAGAUGAACAACUUGACCGUCAUGAUUUAUUUAACAGAAAUAAAGCUGUCCCCAUGACUGCACACUCCCCUUGCAACAGAGAAAACCCCCAAUAAAUCCCCCCCUUAAAAAGGAGCUUAAUCCCUUCAACUAAACAACAAAAACAUGUAUAUUAGUAACUUCAUUUUAUUUUUAAAUUAAAUUGGAUGUUGUGGGCAUGGGGAGUUGGUUGGUGUUACACUGGGAUCCCAGCUAUCAUUUGAAGAGCCAGAUAUGGUCUUGAAGACAAAAAUAUCUGAAUGGUAAACUGCUGUUCCUUGCUGCUGAAUGGCUCUUUUGGUUGAUAUCUGCAUGGCUCCACCUGACUUGCUUUUAGGCCUGAAAUCCAGGCCCUAUUUGCCCAAUUCAAGGCUGCUAUUAUUAUUACUACCGUACUUCUACCACCACCAUUCAUCAGAAGGUCUGAGCACAGUUUACAACAAAUUAAAAACAGGUGAAACAGAUUAUAAUCACAAGAAUCACCACCCCUGAACUUUUGAGUGUGAUCUGUGUUCUCUCAAAUCUCAUAUUCAUAGCACUCUGGCUAGAUUUUUUUAAAAAGGAGGGGCCUAGAUUAGUACAGUACAGCGAAGGACUGUUGACACAACUCAACUUCACUUAAAUUUGCACAGCAAUUCUGCCUCACACUAUUUAAUACAAAAUGGUAAAUGGAAGCAACAUCUGCAAGGAGGUGGAAUGAAAACAUACCAAAAUGCAUGAGAUAUUGCGUAUUACUCCACUUGGCAUUACUACAGACUCGUGUUUACCCUGAAACAGAUGUGCAGAGGAAACUUUCUUCUUGAGUUUUUUUUAAAGGUGUUUUAAUAGAACUCUUGCUAUUAGAAGGUAACAGUUGGAAUACUGGCAGCUGCUCAAAAGCAGAAACAGAGAAACCCAGGACUAUUUUAUUGCAGUGAUUUAGCAGAGGCAUUUUCCACCCUCCCUUCAAAACAAGCAAAGGCAGUUCAUACUGAAAGGUCUUAAUGUGAGAAAAAUCUGCGCUGCAAAUGCUUCCUUCAGUAGAUUUUGUGGGUGAGUCCCGAGUGUGUUUCACAACAACCCUGCCAUGUAGGUGGCAAGUAUUGUUAUUCCUAACUUGCAAAAGGGGGUCAGAAAGAUCAGUUCUACUCAAAGGAAGACCCAUUGAAAUUAAUGAAGAAGGGGACCCACCAUAAUCUUUUAUUGUUUAAAAUUCCUACUGCAGAAUAUAUGCAUUCAGCUGUUUCCUAUUUUAGUUGAAAGGCACCUUGAGUCCCGCCAGGGGAAAAGGCGGGAAAUAAAUAAAUAAAUAAAUAAAU
Non-coding RNA from Zootoca vivipara (common lizard), 34598 nucleotides. The record is from RefSeq and is a predicted model, not a curated record. Lineage: Eukaryota; Metazoa; Chordata; Lepidosauria; Squamata; Lacertidae.